Molecule: transfer RNA, 73 nt
Filed under: Patescibacteria group bacterium
Lineage: Bacteria
Description: tRNA-Lys
Rfam family: tRNA
About the family: Transfer RNA (tRNA) molecules are approximately 80 nucleotides in length. Their secondary structure includes four short double-helical elements and three loops (D, anti-codon, and T loops).
Source: RNAcentral
GCGCUGGUAGCUCAGUCGGUAGAGCAGUAGCCUUUUAAGCUAAUGGUCGCGGGUUCGAUCCCCGCCCAGCGCA